This 1672-nucleotide ribosomal RNA is filed under the name Escherichia coli. RNAcentral's name for it is "partial 23S ribosomal RNA". It matches the Rfam family "Bacterial large subunit ribosomal RNA", at positions 550 to 2207 of the family's 2925-position model. Lineage: Bacteria; Pseudomonadati; Pseudomonadota; Gammaproteobacteria; Enterobacterales; Enterobacteriaceae. The record is from RNAcentral.
CUGAAACCGUGUACGUACAAGCAGUGGGAGCACGCUUAGGCGUGUGACUGCGUACCUUUUGUAUAAUGGGUCAGCGACUUAUAUUCUGUAGCAAGGUUAACCGAAUAGGGGAGCCGAAGGGAAACCGAGUCUUAACUGGGCGUUAAGUUGCAGGGUAUAGACCCGAAACCCGGUGAUCUAGCCAUGGGCAGGUUGAAGGUUGGGUAACACUAACUGGAGGACCGAACCGACUAAUGUUGAAAAAUUAGCGGAUGACUUGUGGCUGGGGGUGAAAGGCCAAUCAAACCGGGAGAUAGCUGGUUCUCCCCGAAAGCUAUUUAGGUAGCGCCUCGUGAAUUCAUCUCCGGGGGUAGAGCACUGUUUCGGCAAGGGGGUCAUCCCGACUUACCAACCCGAUGCAAACUGCGAAUACCGGAGAAUGUUAUCACGGGAGACACACGGCGGGUGCUAACGUCCGUCGUGAAGAGGGAAACAACCCAGACCGCCAGCUAAGGUCCCAAAGUCAUGGUUAAGUGGGAAACGAUGUGGGAAGGCCCAGACAGCCAGGAUGUUGGCUUAGAAGCAGCCAUCAUUUAAAGAAAGCGUAAUAGCUCACUGGUCGAGUCGGCCUGCGCGGAAGAUGUAACGGGGCUAAACCAUGCACCGAAGCUGCGGCAGCGACGCUUAUGCGUUGUUGGGUAGGGGAGCGUUCUGUAAGCCUGUGAAGGUGUGCUGUGAGGCAUGCUGGAGGUAUCAGAAGUGCGAAUGCUGACAUAAGUAACGAUAAAGCGGGUGAAAAGCCCGCUCGCCGGAAGACCAAGGGUUCCUGUCCAACGUUAAUCGGGGCAGGGUGAGUCGACCCCUAAGGCGAGGCCGAAAGGCGUAGUCGAUGGGAAACAGGUUAAUAUUCCUGUACUUGGUGUUACUGCGAAGGGGGGACGGAGAAGGCUAUGUUGGCCGGGCGACGGUUGUCCCGGUUUAAGCGUGUAGGCUGGUUUUCCAGGCAAAUCCGGAAAAUCAAGGCUGAGGCGUGAUGACGAGGCACUACGGUGCUGAAGCAACAAAUGCCCUGCUUCCAGGAAAAGCCUCUAAGCAUCAGGUAACAUCAAAUCGUACCCCAAACCGACACAGGUGGUCAGGUAGAGAAUACCAAGGCGCUUGAGAGAACUCGGGUGAAGGAACUAGGCAAAAUGGUGCCGUAACUUCGGGAGAAGGCACGCUGAUAUGUAGGUGAAGUCCCUUGCGGAUGGAGCUGAAAUCAGUCGAAGAUACCAGCUGGCUGCAACUGUUUAUUAAAAACACAGCACUGUGCAAACACGAAAGUGGACGUAUACGGUGUGACGCCUGCCCGGUGCCGGAAGGUUAAUUGAUGGGGUCAGCGCAAGCGAAGCUCUUGAUCGAAGCCCCGGUAAACGGCGGCCGUAACUAUAACGGUCCUAAGGUAGCGAAAUUCCUUGUCGGGUAAGUUCCGACCUGCACGAAUGGCGUAAUGAUGGCCAGGCUGUCUCCACCCGAGACUCAGUGAAAUUGAACUCGCUGUGAAGAUGCAGUGUACCCGCGGCAAGACGGAAAGACCCCGUGAACCUUUACUAUAGCUUGACACUGAACAUUGAGCCUUGAUGUGUAGGAUAGGUGGGAGGCUUUGAAGUGUGGACGCCAGUCUGCAUGGAGCCGACCUUGAAAUACCACCCUU